RNAcentral lists this ribosomal RNA (460 nucleotides) under uncultured bacterium. Its description in RNAcentral is "partial 16S ribosomal RNA". It matches the Rfam family "Bacterial small subunit ribosomal RNA", at positions 338 to 795 of the family's 1533-position model. The record is from RNAcentral.
CCUACGGGAGGCAGCAGUGAGGAAUAUUGGUCAAUGGACGAGAGUCUGAACCAGCCAAGUAGCGUGAAGGAUGACUGCCCUAUGGGUUGUAAACUUCUUUUAUAUGGGAAUAAAAUGUUCCACGUGUGGGAUUUUGUAUGUACCGUAUGAAUAAGGAUCGGCUAACUCCGUGCCAGCAGCCGCGGUAAUACGGAGGAUCCGAGCGUUAUCCGGAUUUAUUGGGUUUAAAGGGAGCGUAGGUGGAUUGCUAAGUCAGUUGUGAAAGUUUGCGGCUCAACCGUAAAAUUGCAGUUGAUACUGGAAGUCUUGAGAACAGUAGAGGCGGGCGGAAUGCGUGGUGUAGCGGUGAAAUGCUUAGAUAUUACGAAGAACUCCGAUUGCGAAGGCAGCUCACUGGACUGCAACUGACACUGAGGCUCGAAAGUGUGGGUAUCAAACAGGAUUAGAUACCCUGGUAGUC